UAGGGAAUCUUCGGCAAUUUNACGGAAGUCUGACCGAGCAACGCCGCGUGAGUGAAGAAGGUUUUCGGAUCGUAAAGCUCUGUUGUAAGAGAAGAACGAGUGUGAGAGUGGAAAGUUCACACUGUGACGGUAUCUUACCAGAAAGGGACGGCUAACUACGUGCCAGCAGCCGCGGUAAUACGUAGGUCCCGAGCGUUGUCCGGAUUUAUUGGGCGUAAAGCGAGCGCAGGCGGUUAGAUAAGUCUGAAGUUAAAGGCUGUGGCUUAACCAUAGUAGGCUUUGGAAACUGUUUAACUUGAGUGCAAGAGGGGAGAGUGGAAUUCCAUGUGUAGCGGUGAAAUGCGUAGAUAUAUGGAGGAACACCGGUGGCGAAAGCGGCUCUCUGGCUUGUAACUGACGCUGAGGCUCGAAAGCGUGGGGAGCAAACAGGAUUAGAUACCCUGGUAGUCCACGCCGUAAACGAUGAGUGCUAGGUGUUAGACCCUUUCCGGGGUUUAGUGCCGCAGCUAACGCAUUAAGCACUCCGCCUGGGGAGUACGACCGCAAGGUUG
Molecule: ribosomal RNA, 551 nt
Filed under: uncultured bacterium
Lineage: Bacteria
Description: bacterial SSU rRNA
Rfam family: Bacterial small subunit ribosomal RNA
Source: RNAcentral